RNAcentral lists this ribosomal RNA (327 nucleotides) under uncultured eukaryote. RNAcentral's name for it is "partial 18S ribosomal RNA". It matches the Rfam family "Eukaryotic small subunit ribosomal RNA", at positions 1470 to 1796 of the family's 1831-position model. The record is from RNAcentral.
CCCUUAGAUGUCCGGGGCCGCACGCGCGCUACAAUGGAUGAAUCAACGCGUCAUCCUGGCCCGAAAGGGUUGGGGAACCGCUGAACCUCAUCCGUGGUUGGGAUUGGGGUUUGUAAUUAUUCCCCAUGAACUAGGAAUUCCCAGUAAGCGCGAGUCAUAAGCUCGCGUUGAUUACGUCCCUGCCCUUUGUACACACCGCCCGUCGCUACUACCGAUUGGAUGGUUUAGUGAGAUCCUCGGAUUGGUCACGGCACGGUAGCAACACUGCGUCGGUGUGCCGAGAAGACGAUCAAACUUGAUCAUCUAGAGGAAGUAAAAGUCGUAACA